UACAGAGGUCUCAAGCGUUGUUCGGAUUCAUUGGGCGUAAAGGGUGUGUAGGUGGCCAGGUAGGUCUGCUGUGAAAACUCGAGGCUUAACCUCGAGCUGUCGGCGGAAACCAUCUGGCUAGAGUCCGGAAGAGGAGAAUGGAAUUCCCGGUGUAGCGGUGAAAUGCGCAGAUAUCGGGAAGAACACCCGUGGCGAAGGCGGUUCUCUGGGACGGUACUGACGCUGAGACGCGAAAGCGUGGGGAGCGAACAGG
This 253-nucleotide ribosomal RNA is filed under the name uncultured bacterium. Its description in RNAcentral is "partial 16S ribosomal RNA". It matches the Rfam family "Bacterial small subunit ribosomal RNA", at positions 524 to 776 of the family's 1533-position model. The record is from RNAcentral.